This 732-nucleotide ribosomal RNA is filed under the name uncultured Staphylococcus sp. RNAcentral describes it as "bacterial SSU rRNA". It matches the Rfam family "Bacterial small subunit ribosomal RNA", at positions 66 to 780 of the family's 1533-position model. The record is from RNAcentral. Lineage: Bacteria; Bacillati; Bacillota; Bacilli; Caryophanales; Staphylococcaceae.
GCGAACAGACGAGGAGCUUGCUCCUCUGACGUUAGCGGCGGACGGGUGAGUAACACGUGGAUAACCUACCUAUAAGACUGGGAUAACUUCGGGAAACCGGAGCUAAUACCGGAUAAUAUAUUGAACCGCAUGGUUCAAUAGUGAAAGACGGUUUUGCUGUCACUUAUAGAUGGAUCCGCGCCGCAUUAGCUAGUUGGUAAGGUAACGGCUUACCAAGGCAACGAUGCGUAGCCGACCUGAGAGGGUGAUCGGCCACACUGGAACUGAGACACGGUCCAGACUCCUACGGGAGGCAGCAGUAGGGAAUCUUCCGCAAUGGGCGAAAGCCUGACGGAGCAACGCCGCGUGAGUGAUGAAGGUCUUCGGAUCGUAAAACUCUGUUAUUAGGGAAGAACAAAUGUGUAAGUAACUAUGCACGUCUUGACGGUACCUAAUCAGAAAGCCACGGCUAACUACGUGCCAGCAGCCGCGGUAAUACGUAGGUGGCAAGCGUUAUCCGGAAUUAUUGGGCGUAAAGCGCGCGUAGGCGGUUUUUUAAGUCUGAUGUGAAAGCCCACGGCUCAACCGUGGAGGGUCAUUGGAAACUGGAAAACUUGAGUGCAGAGGAGGAAAGUGGAAUUCCAUGUGUAGCGGUGAAAUGCGCAGAGAUAUGGAGGAACACCAGUGGCGAAGGCGACUUUCUGGUCUGUAACUGACGCUGAUGUGCGAAAGCGUGGGGAUCAAACAGGAUUA